This 253-nucleotide ribosomal RNA is filed under the name uncultured bacterium. RNAcentral describes it as "partial 16S ribosomal RNA". It matches the Rfam family "Bacterial small subunit ribosomal RNA", at positions 524 to 776 of the family's 1533-position model. The record is from RNAcentral.
UACAGGGGGUGCAAACGUUGCUCGGAAUCAUUGGGCGUAAAGCGCACGUAGGCGGUUCGUUAUGUCGGAUGUGAAAGCCCUUGGCUUAACCGAGGAAGUGCAUCCGAAACUGGCGAGCUAGAGUACUAAAGAGGAGCGCGGAAUUCCCGGUGUAGAGGUGAAAUUCGUAGAUAUCGGGAGGAACACCGGUGGCGAAGGCGGCGAUCUGGGUAGAUACUGACGCUGAGGUGCGAAAGCGUGGGGAGCAAACAGG